RNAcentral lists this long non-coding RNA (1480 nucleotides) under Setaria italica (foxtail millet). RNAcentral's name for it is "long non-coding RNA (SITA_LNC003158)". The record is from RNAcentral. Lineage: Eukaryota; Viridiplantae; Streptophyta; Magnoliopsida; Poales; Poaceae.
AAAUAUCAAGUACACAUUUCGGCUCAUGCUGGUACAAGUCCAUCAGGACUGAAUCAUGAAAGGUAAAAUAUCUACGCAGCGAAAACAUGUAGCAUGGUGAACAACAUCUCCAGACGCGACUUGAGCGAGGGACCAUCCCUAGUAUUCCCAUCCGUCGUUGUCAAAGUCGUAGUUGGGCUCCGACCCUGAAAAGCCACCAUCUACCUGAGAAGCGGAUAGGCCACGUCAACUCCCAAAGCAGCAAGACAAGGAAAUGGGGGAAUAAUACUAUAUGCAUCGAUCAACCUAUAUGUGGCUAUAGAGGUAUAUGCAGCAGCAAUAGCAAUCAAGGAUGCAUCAAAGCAAUACCAUCUCCGAGGUCAACACCUCACAUCAAGGAAGUCAUCACAAAUCACCAGAUCCUUCACCCAAAAAUCCAGCACCCAAACACACUUGGUGAUGUGAGAGCUCCAUCCUUUCACAUCUCAAUGGCAAAUGGCAACCUAUCUAAAAAAGGGAAGGUAGAAGUAUAUAUAUAUAAGUCUAGUCAGAAGUAGCAGUAGUCAACAGCACUGUCCAUAACCAGUGGACACGAACUAUAGCUAUAGGUUUAUACACUUUGCAGAUGUUGUACAACUGUACCCGCACGGAUGGAGCCUGAACGGGAGCAAUCCGUCCAAACCCCACCUAACGGCCGGAGCCCUAGUAAGUGGAUAGUACUCUCCUGUUUCCUUGAGUCUGGAAUCAUCCUCAACUGCAGGGCAUGCUGUCACCAAUUGAGGACCUCGAAACUGUGAAACCUACCCACGCUGGGGUGCAAUCUGGUCAGAGCAGGUCAACACCUCGAACUCCCUACACUGAUCCUCCAAUCCGCAUACAGGCUAAGCACUAUUCACCACUAGUCUCGGACCGAAUCCCACCCAUAACAAGGUGAACGGUAUGUACGAAAAUAGAUACUAUGACUGGUGGUAAACUGAUUCGGUCCUUAGGGGCUAAGAGCGAGCACUCAACUCCACAAGUAUGUGCCAAAACACCUGCAACGUACAAGUACGCCACCUGCUCCUCAGUGUCAAACAAGGUACCCGCCACAGGUACAGGGGGUGGAGAGAGUCCAGAAUGCUCUCCCCUAGCAAGGCACUCCUCAGUAUCAAUCGCAACUUGCUCCCAUCAAAACACGUCAAGGAAUCACACCCACCCAAAACACACGCGAGAGUGUACAAGGAAUCUCAUUACCAAAACCAUAACAUAUGCCCAUCCAUAACUCAAAAGCAUAUAUAUGGAUAUAAGUAAGGUGGACUAGCUAGGGGUCUGUAGCUAGUCCACAAGUAGGUAACAAGAAAAAUAGAAUAAACAAUUAUCAAGGUAUGGCUAGAAACAUAUGCUAUGCAAUCAAUCAUCAUCCAAGCAUCAUAAAUAAAGCGGUAGCAACUAAGCAUGCAUAUGAUCUAUAUGAUUAGGAGUGACAUGACACCUUGUCCAUAGAUGUUGGGAUCCUCCUCGG